UGUUAUGAAUAUUGUCGUCCCUUAACAUUCACAGUUUUAACUAUUGUGGAUUUGAAUUUUUGCAGAUAUAUUCAUGAACAAUUUGAAUGUUAAUUUUGGGUGUGCUUGGGUUUUCUUGGGCCAUUAUGGGGUCAAAAAAUAAAAGACAGGGACAGUAAAGAAAGAAGGAUUAUAAAGAGAAAACAAAAACAAUACCUAAAGAUUUAAUGGAUGUGUGUUAUCUGAUUAACUUCUGAAGACUGAGUUGUAUAAGACUGAUAUAGUUAAAGUCUUAUGUUCCGAGUAUCCAUGUAAACCUAUUUAGAUAUCUCAGUUUUUGACAGUGGAUGGGCAGUUUUUUAUCAUCAAUUAACAUCUUUCACCUGUGUGGUCUGAAUAUCUAUGUAAAUCUAUGUAGUUUUUGACGAUGAAAGACCAGUUUAUUAUCAUUAUUUAACCUGUCCACUUCGAUUGACACGGAUUUGGCUUUCACUGGUAGCCUGGUAACAUAUAGUCCCAGGUCUUUCUCUGCCUCUGUGGUGGAUAGUGGAGUGUUUCCCAUGUGGUAUUGGUGUGCUGGAUAUCCCUUCACUGGUAGCCUGGUAACAUAUAGUCCCAGGUCUUUCUCUGCCUCUGUGGUGGAUAGUGGAGUGUUUCCCAUGUGGUAUUGGUGUGCUGGAUAUCCCUUCACUGGUAGCCUGGUAACAUAUAGUCCCAGGUCUUUCUCUGCCUCUGUGGUGGAUAGUGGAGUGUUUCCCAUGUGGUAUUGGUGUGCUGGAUAUCCCUUCACUGGUAGCCUGGUAACAUAUAGUCCCAGGUCUUUCUCUGCCUCUGUGGUGGAUAGUGGAGUGUUUCCCAUGUGGUAUUGGUGUGCUGGAUAUCCCCUCCCAAGGUGCAGGACUUCACACUUUUCUUCAUUGAAUUGUAGCAGCCACUUGUUGCUCCACUCCUGUAGCUUGGUGAUGUCUUCUUGUAGGAAAUUCACAGUCAAGGGGUUAAUUUCUCCCCUUCACUUGUG
Molecule: long non-coding RNA, 997 nt
Organism: Eriocheir sinensis (Chinese mitten crab)
Lineage: Eukaryota; Metazoa; Arthropoda; Malacostraca; Decapoda; Varunidae
Exons: 3
Source: RefSeq, a predicted model, not a curated record